GUGUCAGCAGCCGCGGUAAUACGAAGGGGGCUAGCGUUGCUCGGAAUGACUGGGCGUAAAGGGCGCGUAGGCGGAUGUGACAGUCAGGCGUGAAAUUCCUGGGCUUAACCUGGGGACUGCGUUUGAGACGUUGCAUCUAGAGUGAGGAAGAGGGUCGUGGAAUUCCCAGUGUAGAGGUGAAAUUCGUAGAUAUUGGGAAGAACACCGGUGGCGAAGGCGGCGACCUGGUCCUUGACUGACGCUGAGGCGCGAAAGCGUGGGGAGCAAACAGGAUUAGAUACCCUGGUAGUCCACGCUGUAAACGAUGUGUGCUGGAUGUUGGGCGACUUUGUCGUUCAGUGUCGUAGCUAACGCGCUAAGCACACCGCCUGGGGAGUACGGCCGCAAGGUUGAA
This 394-nucleotide ribosomal RNA is filed under the name uncultured bacterium. RNAcentral's name for it is "bacterial SSU rRNA". It matches the Rfam family "Bacterial small subunit ribosomal RNA", at positions 505 to 898 of the family's 1533-position model. The record is from RNAcentral.